Molecule: unclassified non-coding RNA, 2433 nt
Organism: Pocillopora damicornis (cauliflower coral)
Lineage: Eukaryota; Metazoa; Cnidaria; Anthozoa; Scleractinia; Pocilloporidae
Source: RefSeq, a predicted model, not a curated record
AGAUUAUCUGGUAAUUAUUUCUAUCACUUUCAUCUGGGUGUAAACACUUUGUCGCUAGGUCACGAAGCUGAUUGUUCAUCCUUCGCACUUCUUUCGUCAUCAUGGGACUGAAACAGGAGCAUUUUGACAAAAUAAUUCCCGGCGAAUUUAUUUGUACCCAUUGCCACGAUGUAUUUCUAGAGCCAGUUUGCUUAGCUUGUCAACAUGUGCUAUGUAAAAAGUGUUUCAAGAAGAGGAUGAAACGCAAAACACCUACGUGUCCUGUUUGCAAGAAAGCCCUGUAUUUGGGCGACCAAAAUACUGAUGGGGAAUGGAGAGAGCAGUACGAAAGCCUGCAAGUCAACUGUCCGAAGGGAUGCGAGAAAGUGUUGUCGCUAGGAAAACUAAGUGAUCAUUACGGUAAUCACUGCCCACUGACUUUCACUGUUUGCGUGAACAUCGGUUGUAAUCGGAAGGUACGGCGAAGAGACCUUCCAUUACACCUCCAAAGUUGUGACUUCAGAGUCGUACAGUGCGAGGGAUGUGGGUUCUCAACAAAAUAUGUCGAUUUACGAAUGCAUCAAAUCGUUCAGAAGUGUCUCCUAAGGACUCGUUUGCACAUGAUUGUGCAGAACCGCCGUGAAAUGACCGCGCGAGUGAAACAGCAUCGUCUGAAACUGCGGGAGGAAAGUUUUCAAGUCGAGCUCGAGGAAAGAGAUUUGGAUCGCGCAAAGAUGUGGAGUGCUAUUGCCAGGAACGAAAUUUCAAGAACAAGCAGUGCAAAUCAUCUUUCAUACGGAGGGAGACAGUCUCCAGAAGUUACUCGUUACAAAGGAGCUUUAUCGAGAGUGGUUUAUAGCGCUCCAUCAUCUCCGGUGAUGUCCUCUGCAGUGACGUCUAAAACUCUUGCUAGUGACACCAAACUAUGUACUAAUUGCAAUAAGCUUUUCAGUGAACACCGUAAUCAUGAGGAAGCUUGCAGGUGGCACAAAGGGCCGGUAUGUACAUUUAACAUCUAUCUGUUGAAUGCUUUUUCUAUUUAACAUUAAUUUGUAAAGUAUUAUCAAUAUACAAUACAUGAGUUUACCAAGUCCCCAUUCUUGAAAAACUUAAUGCUACAGUGCUUCCAAGUGGAGCUGGUGUUUGUUGCUAGAAACUCUCUGCUUUGUUUCAUAACAUUUUUAAUCUGUGUUAGUUUUGAUACUAGCUUCAGGGUGUUAUUUGAGAAUUUACAAUUUUUUUUAGGAUGAGACUCCUCAAAUGAAGGUUAACCUCGUCCAAGCAAAAGAUUUACAAUCAGCCAUUCCCAAAAUACAACCCCUUCCCUACCAAGUUUAUGUUUUAUAGUCAAUUAGAAACAGACAAUUCAAAGGUGCUGUAAUCCAUUUAAGUUGAAAUUCAGCAUCUUUCCUCUAAUCUGGAGUUAAACCUGUACAAUAGAUCUGAUUUUUUUUAUUCCUUCUUUUAUGUGCCAUGGAAAGGUUGUGGAUGUGGUAAGUGACUAAUUUGUUUUUUCAGACCUAGGAAUGAUUUUAUUACUUAAUCAACAACUGCAUCCGUAAGUGGAGGUUGGGUGCCUGAAACAUCCAGGGGCUUACACUAUUGACAGCCAGCUCCUAGAUGGAGACUUCUCCCAUGGCUGGAAAAUCCUGGCAACCUAGCCAUACAUCCCCACACAGGAAAGGGAAAAAGGCACCUGCCACACUGAAUAAACAGUAGAAAGAAGGAGGGAAGUGGGUGGGGAAAACUGCCACUCCUCAUAAUGCUGCAGGUUCAUGCUCAAAGCCUGAGACCAAAGGCACAUGGAAUUCUGAUGCAUGUGCAUAUGCAAAAAAAAACUGCUAACUACUAGAGAAUGCUGAUGCUCUUUGUCAUUAACUCCAUUAAAUUGCAUUUAACUGCAUCGUAAAAAAGAAAAUGAACAAGUUAAACUUUUGGGUGAAUCCAGUUGCUCAUUUAUGUCAUGUGACUUGACUCUGAAGAAAACAUAAAUGAAAAUUAUUACUUCCAGCCAAAUUUGAAGAGAAGCAUACAGUUUGUAAAAUUAUCUCAAGAACACAAUAUACAGACUGUUCCCCAGAGAAACCUUUUUUCCUUUCUUAUUUGUCACCCUCAUGUUGAAUUUCAGAGGAAUUUGAGUUACCUUAAAACAGAUCAUGCCUGCUAUCACUAAUUUUUCUUUUGUUUCUUUUUUUCCAACUGUGACAAUGUCCUUCUCUUCAGUUUGGGGUAAGUUCUUCUUCUUACAUCUGAUUUCACAAAAUGGUUACAGUUCAUAUUUAAUGCAUUAAAGGUUUGAGCCACCAGCAAGAUUUUGUUGAAACAGGAAAAUAUUUUUUCCGCUGAAUUUUUGCGUUUCAUGGAGCCUUGGAAAAAACUGAAAUUUGAGGGUAACAUUUUUGAGUGUUUUGUUAUAUAACACAACAAAGACAGUAGAAGAUGUAAAGAGAAAAC